RNAcentral lists this ribosomal RNA (301 nucleotides) under uncultured bacterium. RNAcentral's name for it is "partial 16S ribosomal RNA". It matches the Rfam family "Bacterial small subunit ribosomal RNA", at positions 509 to 807 of the family's 1533-position model. The record is from RNAcentral.
CAGCAGCCGCGGGAAUACGUAGGGUGCAAGCGUUAAUCGGAAUUACUGGGCGUAAAGCGUGCGCAGGCGGUUAUGUAAGACAGGUGUGAAAUCCCCGGGCUUAACCUGGGAAUGGCAUUUGUGACUGCAUAGCUAGAGUGUGUCAGAGGGGGGUAGAAUUCCACGUGUAGCAGUGAAAUGCGUAGAGAUGUGGAGGAAUACCGAUGGCGAAGGCAGCCCCCUGGGAUAACACUGACGCUCAUGCACGAAAGCGUGGGGAGCAAACAGGAUUAGAUACCCCAGUAGUCCCUGUCUCUUAUAC